UGGGGAAUUUUGGACAAUGGGCGAAAGCCUGAUCCAGCCAUGCCGCGUGAGUGAAGAAGGCCUUCGGGUUGUAAAGCUCUUUCGGUGGGGAAGAAAUUGCACGGGUUAAUACCCUGUGUAGAUGACGGUACCUGGAGAAGAAGCACCGGCUAACUACGUGCCAGCAGCCGCGGUAAUACGUAGGGUGCGAGCGUUAAUCGGAAUUACUGGGCGUAAAGCGUGCGCAGGCGGUUUGGUAAGUCAGAUGUGAAAUCCCCGGGCUCAACCUGGGAACUGCAUUUGAGACUGCCAAGCUGGAGUUUGGCAGAGGGGGGUGGAAUUCCACGUGUAGCAGUGAAAUGCGUAGAGAUGUGGAGGAACACCGAUGGCGAAGGCAGCCCCCUGGGCCAAUACUGACGCUCAUGCACGAAAGCGUGGGGAGCAAACAGG
RNAcentral lists this ribosomal RNA (429 nucleotides) under uncultured Rhodocyclales bacterium. Its description in RNAcentral is "bacterial SSU rRNA". It matches the Rfam family "Bacterial small subunit ribosomal RNA", at positions 355 to 776 of the family's 1533-position model. Lineage: Bacteria; Pseudomonadati; Pseudomonadota; Betaproteobacteria; Rhodocyclales. The record is from RNAcentral.